UCCCUUGCCCAAUCAAACCACCACAGCCUCUAACUUCACUACCCAUCUGCCCAUGAACCAUCGCUCUGAUCUACUGUCUCGGGGGCCUCCCUCACUGCCGGCAGCCUCCACUGACUUCCUGUUGGAUCUGAUUCUGAGACAUCUUGAGGAGUUUUGCAUCAGGAAAUUAGCAUGAGCUCAGCGUGACACCAUUUGUUUCGGAGUUCAGCCAUUCUAGUAUGGAAAUGAUUGGCAUCUAAGUCAUGGCUACCAAGGAAAGCUUUACAUACCCCCAUGUCAACAAAUUUUAGUUUGUGUGUAG
Long non-coding RNA from Phragmites australis (common reed), 301 nucleotides. RefSeq lists it as uncharacterized. The record is from RefSeq and is a predicted model, not a curated record. The transcript has 3 exons. Lineage: Eukaryota; Viridiplantae; Streptophyta; Magnoliopsida; Poales; Poaceae.